This 449-nucleotide ribosomal RNA is filed under the name uncultured bacterium. RNAcentral's name for it is "partial 16S ribosomal RNA". It matches the Rfam family "Bacterial small subunit ribosomal RNA", at positions 29 to 523 of the family's 1533-position model. The record is from RNAcentral.
AGCGAACGCUGGCGGCAGGCCUAACACAUGCAAGUCGAACGGACCCUUCGGGGUUAGUGGCGGACGGGUGAGUAACACGUGGGAACGUGCCUUUAGGUUCGGAAUAGCUCCUGGAAACGGGUGGUAAUGCCGAAAGUGCCCUUCGGGGGAAAGAUUUAUCGCCUUUAGAGCGGCCCGCGUCUGAUUAGCUAGUUGGUGAGGUAAAGGCUCACCAAGGCUACGAUCAGUAGCUGGUCUGAGAGGAUGGCCAGCCACAUUGGGACUGAGACACGGCCCAAACUCCUACGGGAGGCAGCAGUGGGGAAUCUUGCGCAAUGGGCGAAAGCCUGACGCAGCCAUGCCGCGUGUAUGAUGAAGGUCUUAGGAUUGUAAAAUACUUUCACCGGUGAAGAUAAUGACUGUAGCCGGAGAAGAAGCCCCGGCUAACUUCGUGCCAGCAGCCGCAGUAA